RNAcentral lists this long non-coding RNA (230 nucleotides) under Homo sapiens (human). RNAcentral describes it as "HSALNT0269656". The record is from RNAcentral. Lineage: Eukaryota; Metazoa; Chordata; Mammalia; Primates; Hominidae.
UUUCUGCCUUUGCAUAAAAGCCAGCACAAUCCUGCCCGAGGUGGUCCACGCCCUGGUGGCUGCGCUAAGUGCUCCCCACACACCGUGUUCAGUCCUUACAGCUGACCUGAGCCCCAGAUGCCUCCUUGUGUGACACCAUCAAGUCCACCAUAAACCAAUGGAUGGAAUAACUCUCAGCAACUUGUCCCUUUCCUCCCCUGCUCCCCUUGGGUAAGAAACUGUGCAAGCUU